AUGGCUCGGCCCGACGAGGUUUGUUUUUUGUGGUCACACAGACGGAUUGGAGAUGGCCAGAGGGCCGAGAUAUUGGCGAUGGAAGCGGCCGGGAUAAGAAAGCAUAUUAUAAUGGACAACUUCAUCAGCAGAUACGGUUCGUACGAUAAGUGCGGGCUUAUCAGGAGGGACAUUUACAAUCUUUGUUGCAGAGAAAAAAAUGAAGCUCAUUGCAAAGGGUGA
Molecule: ribosomal RNA, 222 nt
Filed under: Triticum aestivum (bread wheat)
Lineage: Eukaryota; Viridiplantae; Streptophyta; Magnoliopsida; Poales; Poaceae
Description: partial small subunit ribosomal RNA
Source: RNAcentral